Molecule: ribosomal RNA, 465 nt
Filed under: uncultured bacterium
Lineage: Bacteria
Description: partial 16S ribosomal RNA
Rfam family: Bacterial small subunit ribosomal RNA
Source: RNAcentral
GACGAACGCUGGCGGCGUGCUUAACACAUGCAAGUCGUACGGUAAGGCCCUUUCGGGGGUACACGAGUGGCGAACGGGUGAGUAACACGUGAGUAACCUGCCCACAACUUUGGGAUAACGCUAGGAAACUGGUGCUAAUACUGGAUAUGUGCUCCUGCUGCAUGGUGGGGGUUGGAAAGCUCCGGCGGUUGUGGAUGGACUCGCGGCCUAUCAGCUUGUUGGUGGGGUAGUGGCCUACCAAGGCGGCGACGGGUAGCCGGCAUGAGAGGGUGACCGGCCACAUAGCGAAAUGGAAACAGCCCAGACUCCUACGGGAGGCAGCAGUGGCGAAUAUUGCACAAUGGGCGCAAGCCAGAUGCAGCAACGCCGCGGGCGGGAUGACGGCCUUCGAGUUGUAAACCGAUUUCAGAAGGGCCGAAGCUUUUUGUGACGGUACCUGCAGAAGAAGCACCGGCUAACUACGUG